GUUGGACGGCUACUUGAGGUAUUUCUACUCUAACUUCAGUUUACGUUUUGGAUAUUCUGCUCACUUUUGUUUCCAUCUUGAAAUUAAACUACAAAUUUCUCAAUUUUUUGCAGAAAUUUGCUCCUUUUUUCUUCCUUUAUCUAAAAUCAAUGACCCUAUUACUCUGAUAAAGUAUAAAAUUAAAUAUUAAACAUAUCAGCAGCUCCAGAGUGUCUCGGUUUUGUUGUGUGAGAAACGUCAGUACUGAAGUCGGAGCUGUAACUCAGCUUGUCCUCCGUCUCCCGUCUUCGUUCUUCACUCAGUUCAUUCACAAACCAUUUGUUUGUCAGCAUGCUACAAAAACUUCACUUUCAUGUCAGUGUCAUAAAUCCUCUUUCUUUUGCUUUUUUCCAUCCCCUGACAAAAACAGAGAAAAAUCUCAGGUUUUUGGAUAGUCUGCUAGCAGUAUGUUUUUUACUUUUUGUGCCAUAAAGGUAGCUUUAUAUUCACAACAAAGGCGAGUGUCGCAGUCUCCAGAAGCUCUGAAGGAUCUGUGGCGUUUUAUUGUUUGUGUUUUUACACAACAUACCAGCGGGGUUCGCCGAGACUGGGAAGGCGGUAACCUCAGGGAGUCGGAAGUGGCAGCGACAAACACUCCAAACGAAAGAGAAAAGGCCUCAGCGGUGGGGAACAGAGAGGCUUUUUUCAGCCAGCGUCUCAUAUCUAACAAACUCAGAAUCAAAGCAGAACGACGGCUUUAAAGAAAUAGUUGGAGCAGAACUUUCCCCACUGAUGUGUUUCUGCCCCAGUUUCCAUGGCAGAGAAAUAUUUCAGUGACUCUGAGCUCAAAGAGAAUCUUUAAGAUUUUAUCUUGUUCAGAUCUACGAAGGAAUCCGUCUCUUUUCUUUUGGCAUGAAGACACAGAAACAUGAAAACUCAACAUGGGCAUUUGAAUGGGGCAUAAAUAAUGAUAAUGACGCCUCCAGGUUCUGUGGCGUUUCUCCAGGACGAGCCGUGCAGCAGAGCGAAGGGCAGACUGAGACGCUGCUCCUCAACGACUCGUUACGCAGACAGCCAUCCAUCUCCGGCGGAGGAUGAGUUGAGCUGGAGGACACUGUGGGCCCAUUUCCCUCAUUACCCAAAAUCCUCGGCUGCUCUCAGAGGAACCGCGUCCAUUUUAAUAACUGGUUGUCAGACAAGUUUCCAAAGGCUUUAAUGCAUCUGCUGUAACGAAUGACAGCGGUGACCUUCUGACUGCUGCGAGCGCCGAGAAAAAGUGAGCAGCAAUUAGAGCAAAUUUACCUUCCUAUUGUCCACUUUUAUAAUGACGACAUGAUUUAUUCUUAUGUUGCUAAUAUUUUAUACUGAAUAAAGUUAUAAUGAGGCCGCAGUGCAA
Molecule: long non-coding RNA, 1375 nt
Organism: Poecilia latipinna (sailfin molly)
Lineage: Eukaryota; Metazoa; Chordata; Actinopteri; Cyprinodontiformes; Poeciliidae
Exons: 2
Source: RefSeq, a predicted model, not a curated record